ACGCUCACGAACAUAGAUAUUUGCUAAUUUGCAAAAAUUGUCAGCUUCCUUUAUUUUAUAGACCAAUUUUAAAAAAGGACUCUUUAGGAAACUUAACAUACAUAAUUUUUAACGCUGUACAUCUCGAUAGUGAAAAACAUAUAAAAAGUUUAGCUUCAGCUUUGAGCGACACAAAAACUAAAAUAGAUUCAGUGAAUCACGGUAAGUCUGGUGUGACCACUAUUAGCACUCUUGAAGAAGAAGAAGCGGAGCUGGAGGCUCAAGAUGCUGGAGACAGUUUUACCGAGAACGCAAAGAUAAUUGAACAAAGACUUGGAGGCUCCAAACGUAAACCUGAAACCAGCAGAAGUGAUCUUGGUUACAAGCGAUCUACUUUAGGAACUUUGAUGAAAUGAAGUUGUUGAAGUUAUUGGUGGAUUAUUAGUUA
Molecule: long non-coding RNA, 427 nt
Organism: Zophobas morio
Lineage: Eukaryota; Metazoa; Arthropoda; Insecta; Coleoptera; Tenebrionidae
Exons: 4
Source: RefSeq, a predicted model, not a curated record